AGUGAAUGCUGGCGGUAGGCCUAACACAUGCAAGUCGAACGGCAGCACAGUAAGAGCUUGCUCUUACGGGUGGCGAGUGGCGGACGGGUGAGGAAUACAUCGGAAUCUACUUUUUCGUGGGGGAUAACGUAGGGAAACUUACGCUAAUACCGCAUACGACCUACGGGUGAAAGCAGGGGAUCUUCGGACCUUGCGCGAUUGAAUGAGCCGAUGUCGGAUUAGCUAGUUGGCGGGGUAAAGGCCCACCAAGGCGACGAUCCGUAGCUGGUCUGAGAGGAUGAUCAGCCACACUGGAACUGAGACACGGUCCAGACUCCUACGGGAGGCAGCAGUGGGGAAUAUUGGACAAUGGGCGCAGGCCUGAUCCAGCCAUACCGCGUGGGUGAAGAAGGCCUUCGGGUUGUAAAGCCCUUUUGUUGGGAAAGAAAAGCAGCAGGUUAAUACCCCGCUGUUCUGACGGUACCCAAAGAAUAAGCACCGGCUAACUUCGUG
Molecule: ribosomal RNA, 492 nt
Filed under: uncultured bacterium
Lineage: Bacteria
Description: partial 16S ribosomal RNA
Rfam family: Bacterial small subunit ribosomal RNA
Source: RNAcentral